ACUCCUACGGGAGGCAGCAGUGGGGAAUAUUGGACAAUGGGGGCAACCCUGAUCCAGCCAUGCCGCGUGAGUGAAAAGGCCCUAGGGUCGUAAAAGCUCUUUCAACUGUGAAGAUAAUGACGGUAGCAAGUAGACGAAACCCCGGCUAAUUCCGUGCCAGCAAGCCGCGGUAAUACGGNGGGGUUAGCGUUGUUCGGAAUUACUGGGCGUAAAGCGCACGUAGGCGGACUAUUAAGUUAGAGGUGAAAAU
This 250-nucleotide ribosomal RNA is filed under the name uncultured bacterium. RNAcentral's name for it is "partial 16S ribosomal RNA". It matches the Rfam family "Bacterial small subunit ribosomal RNA", at positions 335 to 601 of the family's 1533-position model. The record is from RNAcentral.